CCCUUAGAUGUCCGGGGCCGCACGCGCGCUACAAUGGAUGAAUCAACGCGUCGUCCUGGCCCGAAAGGGUUGGGGAACCGCUGAACCUCAUCCGUGGUUGGGAUUGGGGUUUGUAAUUAUUCCCCAUGAACUAGGAAUUCCCAGUAAGCGCGAGUCAUAAGCUCGCGUUGAUUACGUCCCUGCCCUUUGUACACACCGCCCGUCGCACCUACCGAUUGGAUGGUCCGGUGAAGCCUCGGGAUUGUGGUUCUUGCCGCUUUAUUGUGGCGUGACCGCGAGAACUUGUCUAAACCUUAUCAUCUAGAGGAAGGUGAAGUCGUAACA
This 324-nucleotide ribosomal RNA is filed under the name uncultured eukaryote. RNAcentral describes it as "partial 18S ribosomal RNA". It matches the Rfam family "Eukaryotic small subunit ribosomal RNA", at positions 1470 to 1796 of the family's 1831-position model. The record is from RNAcentral.